CAGAGUUUUUAACUCCCAAACCCAUGUGAACUUACCUUCUGUUGCCUCGGCGGGUUCUGCCUCUCAGGUAGUUCGCCCGCCGGUGGCCCACCAAAACUCUUGAUAUCUAAUUGAAAUCUGAGCGUUAUUUUUAAAAUAAGUCA
This 143-nucleotide unclassified non-coding RNA is filed under the name uncultured fungus. RNAcentral describes it as "sequence contains ITS1, 5.8S rRNA gene". Lineage: Eukaryota; Fungi. The record is from RNAcentral.